RNAcentral lists this unclassified non-coding RNA (1023 nucleotides) under Hevea brasiliensis (rubber tree). The record is from RNAcentral. Lineage: Eukaryota; Viridiplantae; Streptophyta; Magnoliopsida; Malpighiales; Euphorbiaceae.
CCAUUGUCGCUCUCGACUGAUCCUGAGCUGCUCAAUCCAAGCACAUCCAAUGGCCGGCCUGCAGAUAAUCGGGUCCUCACCGACGGCGAUGGCCGGAAAUCGGCCGGUGCCGUGCUUUGACGGGCUCCGACUCGCGCCGUCUGGGAUCAGGAUGUUCUCUUCCGCGGGCGGCUGCCGGUUGCGGUCCGAGCCGAGGGGGUUCCGGAGUCUCAUCGUCAAGGCCGCCACUGUCGUCGCGCCGAAGUAUACUUCAGUCAAGCCUUUGGGUGAUAGAGUGCUUGUCAAGAUCAAGUCAUCUGAGGAGAAAACAACCGGUGGUAUUUUGCUUCCGACAACUGCCCAGACAAAACCUCAGGCUGGGGAAGUAGUCGCAAUUGGAGAGGGAAGGACUAUCGGCAAGAACAAAGUAGAUAUCAGUGUUCAGUCUGGAGCACAGGUAGUCUACUCCAAAUAUGCUGGGACAGAAUUGGAAUUCAAUGGAACUAACCAUCUAUUGCUGAAGGAGGAUGAUAUUGUGGGAAUUCUCGAGACUGAUGAUGUCAAGGAUCUCAAGCCUCUUAACGAUCGAGUUCUGAUAAAGGUUGCAGAAGCUGAGGAGAAGACUGCUGGUGGCUUGCUAUUGACUGAGGCAAGCAAGGAAAAGCCUUCGAUUGGGACGGUGGUUGCGGUUGGGCCUGGGCCACUGGAUGAGGAGGGGAAAAGGAAGCCACUCACUGUGUCGCCAGGGAAUACAGUACUCUACUCCAAGUAUGCGGGAUCAGAAUUUAAGGGCGCAGAUGGAUCUGACUACAUUGCUCUGAGAGCUUCUGAUGUGAUGGCGGUGCUUUCAUAAUUUUGCAGUUAAAGUUGUUGAGAGGAUAGAUAGAUAUUUGAAAAGGGCGUGUUAAGCAGGUAUUGCAAUGUUUUGUGUAGUGACUGUUCUGGCUUGUUCGGUAUGAGUUUCUUAGUUUGUGCAAUAAACUAGUCUAAGAGUUUUGGAUUCUUCAGAUUCUAAUUAGAUGUUAUCUAUAUUCUUAAAGUUUG